GCCAGGCAUUAACAUCCAUGCAAGUGGAUCGUUUCGUUGCAAUAUUUUAUACAAAUAUCUUUAGAUCACAUGGCUAAUAAAUAAGCAUACCAUACUGUGUUUAGAAUCGUUGUUUUCCCUGUUGAAUUCUGUGAUCAAACCCUUGCGUGAUCGGAACCCUAGUUCUCAACAGAUCGAAUUCAAGAACUUUCUUGAUUCCCAUGAGAUGGAAUCUAGGGGCUUAUUUUCUUUUUCUCGUACCAUCUUCUCUCUGUGGAUUCGGGUUAUUGCAUUCUCAAAGAGAGAUGCAGAGUCCCCUUUAUGUUUAAGGGGGUUGGCUUCCAAGGUCAAGAGUAUGCCUGUUUUUUAUGACGUGACGCCAUUCGAUCUCAGCUGCCGAUUGAAGUGAGUGUUUACAUUCAAUCCAUUAUGGUGUAGAGGGUAUGAGGAUCUGGUUGGGAACUUUCUCAAAUAGUGUACUGGUUUACCUCUGUCUCUCAAUUUAAAAUUAAUGAAUGGAAGCAUAUCGGAGAGAUCUAGAACUGAGAAGACACUUCUUAUUUCCAAAGACAAAUGCCUUGUUGAACUCAACAAUGAAUAAAAACGGAUCCAUAUAGUUCAAAUGGUACAAGAUAAGUGCCUAGUUGAACUGUAAAGAUGGGUGUGUGCAAAUAAGUGUCUUGUUGAAAUGUGAAGUGGGAAAAUAUCUUCUUCAUGGAUAUUGCUUGUUUUUUUAAAACAAGCAAGAUAAUUUUCAUGGAUAUUGCUUGUUUUUUUAAAACAAGCAAGAUAAUUUUCAUGGAUAUUGCUUGUUUUUUUAAAAACAAGUAAGAUAACUUUCAUGGAUAUUGCAUGUUUUUUUAAACAAGAUGAGGACAUGUUCAAUAAGAUUAGAUUGUAAAGCUAGCAAAUCUAACAUUCAAAGAUAUUGAAUGUUUUUUAAAGCAAACAAGAUAAAUGUCUUGUUGAUUUGUAAAGUGAACAAAUCCAAUCUUCAUGGAUAUUGUAUGUUUUUCUAAUUAAAGAUUAAAAUAACCUGGUUUUCACAGGUUUUCAUGGGUGGAUAUUUCAUAUUUGGAAUGAAAGAAUAAAUGGUCAUAAGAGGAAUUUUCAUGGAUAUUGCAUGGUUUUCGUUAAGAAAUAGAUAUUGCAUAAUUUUAAAGGCAGAUUUUGCAUGUUUUUCAAUUGGAGAAUGAAAGGCCUGGUUAUCAGAGGAAUCUUCGUGGAUAUAACAUUUUUUAACUUAAGGAAUGAUGAGUAUAAUGGUUUUGGACACUCUACACCACAAAUAUUGUGCUUAACUGGGAGCAAGUAAAAACAGAUCUUCAUGGACCCUUUUUGUUAUUAUUUAAAUGAAUGAGAGAAGUUGAGAGUAUGACUGCAUUGAGAUUUGAGGAAGCAUGCCUUUAUUCCUCUCCUCCAUAUAAUAAAGGAAUCUUUUUGAAGCUUGCCUUUAUUCCUCUGAUCCGUAUUAUGAUAUUCACAAUUUUACAUUUUACUGGAAGUUCAUUUUUUUUCGCUUGAACAUAUUAUUUUUUAUUGCAGCAACAAUUAGAUACACUCGCCAGUACCGAUGGCCUUCGGUUUGAGGCAUUUUGAUUCAAUUGACGCUUGAAGAGAUUGUAGCAUAACGCUGCAGAGCUGUCUGCAGUAGUGGGGCUGUCGGCCUUUUAUUUUUGGCAAGGAUUCUCUGUAUUUAGAAGAUACUGGGUUUGUUCCCACCAAAGUCUGAAUGCUUUUUGGGCAUUUUUCCCCUCUUUGAUUGAGGCAGCUAGUAGAGGUCUGCAUCAAAAGUGGUAUUAGAGCAAAAGAACCCUUGGAUUGGGAAGUUCUGUAAGUGUUUGAAGAAAUAGUGGAUACAAAUGGAUUUUAGAUGGGUCACUGGUAAAUGGUGUGGAAGAGUUGAAGCAUCCAGAACUGCAGAAAUAGCUCAAGGAAUGAAGGAGGUUCUAGCAAGGUUAGCUGCAAUAGGGACUGCCCAAAGGAGGGGAAUUUAUCUUGAAGAUUGUAAGUGAUGAAGAGGAAGAAGUGUUACAGGAAACUCAAGGCCAUGAAGAAGAAGAAGUGGAUGCUGCUGCUGAAAGUAGACUUCUUAGAGCCAUGACGAAGAUUGGGAAUACACCUAAGUUAGAUACACCGUGUUACAAUAGGAGCUUGAAUGGUGAGGAACUCAUAGACUGGAUUACAGAGAUGGAAAGAUAUUUUGAUUAUGAAUCAACAAAAGAAUCCAAGAAGGUAAAACUUAGCCUAGAAAAGGUCAUGCAGCCAUAUGGUGGGACUAUGUACAAACUGAAAGGCAGAGGAAAUGGAAGGAAAACAUUAAAAACUGGAAUAAUAUGGUGCCAAAAAUAAAGGCUAAAUUCUUACCUUAAGAUUAUUAGGUGAGCAUAUUCAAGAAAUUGCAGAAUUUGAUACAAAAGGAUAUGGAUGUAAAUGAGUACAUCGAAGAGUUCUAUAAACUCACCAUAAGAGCUGGACACAGAGAAUAUGAUCCAGAAAAGAUAGCAAGGUAUGUAAAUGGACUACAAUUAAAUAUCCAAGACUUAAUUAGUUUGUUCAACUUUAAAAGCAUAGAAGAAGCUUAUCAAUGCACCUUAAGGGUAGAAAAGAAAUUGUACAGAAGACAAUCAGUUAGCUCUAGAGGAAGAGGAAGAUUAUCAAGGGGAAGCGGUCGAUUCAUUGAAAAUAAGAGACAACAGAAUAAUGAAAGGGAUUCAAGCAUUUCUCACAAUGAAUAACAUACUCCAAAAAUUAGCGGUAGAGGAAGUACCUUAAGAGGGAGAGGAAGGAAUUUCACCUAUUAUCGGUGUGGAGAGGAAUCAUUACUUGAUUAUGAGUGUCCUUGAGAAUCAUUUGAUUAUGGAAGGAACCAUCUUGCCGAAGCUAAUGAAGUAUUACCAUCACAAUAUAGUAGAACCCAAAUAUGGAGAAACCCUCGUGCUAAAAAGAAUACUGACGAAGACAGAGAAGGAAGAACUUGAACCAACACAAAGAAGAAAUUUGUUUCGAACUAUUUGUACAUCUCAAGUUAAAUGUUACAGAAUUUUGGUGGAUAGUGGAAGCACUGAUAAUUUGGUAUCUAUAGAGAUGGUAGAAAAGUUAAGAUUACAAAGACUCAAACAUCCAAGGCCCCACUAGAUAUCAUGGUUACAGAAAGAGCAUCCAUUAACGGUAAAUGAGCAAUGUUUAGUUAAUUUUCAUAUUUGGACUUAUCAAGAUGAAAUCUUGUGUGAUAUAAUGCCUAUGGAUGCUUGUUACAUUUUACGUGGAAGAUCAUGGCAAUAUGAUAGGAAAGCUAUUCAUGAUGGUGACAAGAACAAUUAUACCAUCACCAAGGAUGGGAAGGAGUAUAUCUUACAACCACUAAAGGAUAGAGAGGAAGAAGAAGCAAGGGACAAAAGGUAUAUCUUAUUCUAUGGAAGCAAUUUUUAAAUGGAGUAAAGGAUGAAAAGGUUUGUUUUGCUAUAACUUCUAAGUUUGCAAGGAAGGGGGCAGCAGCCGAGAAGAAAAAAAGAAACUCCUGUAGAAGUUCAAAAAUUACUUGAAGAAUAUGCUGAAAUCAUUUCACAUGAAUUGCACGAAGGUCUUCCUCAAAUGAGAAGCAUUAGUCACCAUAUAGAUCUAAUCCCUGGAGCAAGUUUACUUAAUAAGGCUGCAUAUAGGAUGAUCCCAGAAUAAAACGAAGUAAAAAGACAAGUUCAGGAAUUAUUAGAUAAGGGGUUGAUCAGAGAAAGCAUGAGUCCAUGUGUUGUUCCAGCAGUGUUGGCACCAAAAAGGAGUGGAGGAUGGCGAAUGUGCAUAGAUCCUUGGGCCAUAAAUAAAAUCACCAUCAAAUAUCGGUUUCCAUUGCCACAAAUGGAUAACCUAAUGGAUUGUUUGAGUGGAGCAAGGUAUUUCACGAAGAUUGAUUUGAAAAGUCAUCAAAUUCGAAUAAGGGAAGGUGAUGAAUGGAAGACAGCCUUCAAGAUCAAAGAUGGGUUGUAAAAAUGGUUGGUCCUGCCAUUUGGGCUAACCAAUGCACCAAGUACAUUUAUGAAUUGAUGAAUGAAGUGCUCAAACCAUAUGUUGGUAAGUUCGUGAUCAUUUAUCUUGGUGAAAUUUUGAUUUUUAGUAAAACAAAAGAGGAUCAUAUGAAACAUUUGCAAUUGGUUUUACAAAGGUUAAAGCAGGAAAAGUUGCAGAUUAACUUGAAGAAAUGUAGAUUUAUAAAGGAGGAGCUGGUAUAUUUAAGCUUUGUGAUCUCUUCAAAGGACUAAAAAUGGACCCAGAAAAGGUUAAAGCCAUUGUAGAAUGGCCAUCACCCAAAAGCACAUUUAUCCAUGAAAGGAAAAAGAACUGAUUUAAAAUGGACAGCAGCAGCAGAAAGGAGUUUUCCGCUUCUCAAGGAAAAAGUAACAGGCCAACCUUUAUUGGCCUUGCCAGACUUUAACAAAGGUGUUUCAAGUAGACUGUAAUGCAAGCAAUGUAGCCAUUGGUGGGUUCUAAGCCAAGAGGGAAAACCUAUUGCCUACUUCAGUGAAAAGCUAAAUGAAGCCAAAAGGAAAUAUUCAGUUUAUAAUCAAGAAUUCUACGCUAUUAUUCAGGCAUUGAAGAAAUGGAGACACUAUUUGCUGCCUAAGGAGUUUGUCCUAUACACUGCUCAUCAUGCUCUACAAUAGAUUAAUAGCCAAGGUAAGCUCAGUCAGAGGCACAUGAAAUGGGUUGAAUUUUUACAAAGUCAUUUUUUUGUCUUAAAACAUAAGUUGGAAGACUAAUCGAGUAGUAGAUGUUUUGAGUAGAAGAAUUUUCUUGUUGACUGAAAUGAAAAUUGAAUUGAAUUUAUUGGAUUUGAAGCAAUCAAAUAUCUAUAUGAGGAAGAUGCAGAUUCCAAAGAAGCUUAGAGCUGCAUGUAAACACCCAAUGGGUCAAGAUAAACCCCAUGGUUGGAGUAUUUUGUUCAAGAAGGUUUGCUUUUCAAAGGCAAAUGUUUGUGCAUACCCCGUGGAUCCAUGAAAAUUUAAUAAGAGGAAAACAUAGUGGCCGUUUGGCUGGUUAUUUUGGUGUAAACAAAACCUUGACACACAUAGAAGAAAAAUAUUAUUGGCCUAGAAUGAACAGGGAUGUUCAACACUUGGUUCAACGAUGUCGAGUCUGCCAACUUGCCAAAGGAAGAAGUCAGAAUACUGGAUUGUGUCAGUUUUUGCCUAUUCUUGAAAGGCCAUGGGAAGAAGUAAGCAUGGAUUUUGUUUCCUUGGGUUACCAAGGACCCCAAGAGGUAAUGACUCUAUCUUUAUUGUAGUUGAUCAAUUUUCCAAAAUGCCUCACUUUAUUCCCUGCAAAGAGACAAAUGAUGUUUCUUGCAAAUUUAUUAUGCAAGGAAAUAGUGAGGCUUCAUGGUCUACCAAAAAGUAUAGUUUUAUAUCGUAUUACGAAGUUCGUAAGUCAUUUUUGGACAACAUUGUGGAAGAAGUGGGAAACUAAGUUAAAUUUCAGUUCAGCCUAUCACCCAGAAACAGAAGUUGGAAAGAGGCCUACCCAAUGGGAUUUAGUGUUAGCACACGUGAAAUUCUCAAUAGAAGUACAAAAAGGACUCCCUUUUAGAUUGUUUAUAGAUAUCAUCCAAGGGAGGUAGAUACCUUGCGAAGUACUGUUGAAGUUAGCAAAACAAGUGCAGCAGUUGAAGAUUUUGUAAAAUACAUAUAUCAAUUGUAGCAAGAAGUUAGAAAGAAUCUGGAGAAGAGUACACAAAGAUACAAGGAAGACGCUGAUCACCACCAAAUAAACCAAGAAUUUCAGAUUGGGGAAUUCAUGCUUGUAUACUUAAGAAAGGAGAGAUUUCCUCAAGGGACUUAUAACAAGUUAAAGUGGGAGAAGAUUGGACCAUGCAAGGUCCUGAGAAAAUUUUCAGCUAAUGCCUAUGAGGUAAAACUUCCAAAAGGCAUUGAUAUUUCUCCAAUUUUUAACGUUGCAGAUUUAUUGCCUUGUCAUCAAGAGUCAAACCAAGACGAAUGCAUUGAGGAUCAGCAAACGGAGUGGCUAGAGCAAUUUCCUAGAAAAGAAGAGGAAGAAUUCAAAGUUGUGAUUUAUUUCUGAACAAGCAAAAGGACACGGAUUAAAGAGUAUUGAAAAUACUUGGUUAAAUGGAAAGACUGAUCAAUAGAGGAGGUUACCUGGAUGAAAGAAUCAGAAAUGGUCAAGGAAUGAAUACCAAUUCCUGAACACCUAAAAGUUCACGAGUCUUUCAAUUCAUGAACGUUUCUACAAAUUGGGGCACCUGAUGCAGGGGCAAAUUUGGCAUAAUUUUCUUUUUAAGCUAUGUCUGUAAAGUCCAAAUGUUUUUUGACAUUUUUCCCCUUGUUGAUGGAGGCAGCUAGUGUAGGUUGGCAAUGGCUGCUGUUUGUAGGAAUCAGCUCCUUUAAAAGGAUCAUGCCAUGCUCAAGUGAAAAAAGGCAGAGCUGAAAAGUAAUCAAGGGGAGUCGAGCAGGUAUUCUGGGUAUUGGGAAGAGUAUUGGUGUUAUUUAUGACAUUUUGUUUUUCCAGUAUUAUCUUGAUUGCUGUAGAUGUGUGUGUGGUUUCUUAUUCUCAGUUAUGUGAUAGUUUGUUGCUGUGUCUCUGAGUUUAUGAUCAUGUAAUGGUGAUUUUCUGUAAUAAACAUUUGCUGGUUUUAGAAAAAUCUCAGUUGUUAUCUGCAAGCUGAUUUUGUUUUCAUCCGAGUUCCUUAAGCUGCCAUAGUCAACCACCUUCAUUGGGUCCUUGACUGCUGGUCUGCAUCAAUUGCUUAGUCAUGAGAAAUGAGUUCCUGUGAAUACUGGAGCAAUGAAAUUUGACUCAAAGCUAAACAUAAUCUCAAUAAAUCAUUACACCAUACUUGCCAUAGUUAAAUAGCUAACAUAAAAAAAUUAACUGCAAAUUUCAGGUUCAAUUCCAGUUGAAAUAGAUAGCUUUUCAUGAAAUCUCAUUACAGGAGGCUACAAAUUCACAAGAAAUAUUAAAUUGUUUGAGAAGUACAUCCCAAAAAAUGUCAUUUGAUGGGAGUUAUUUAUCAGAAUCCCUAGAAAACUCACCUAUCCCAGAAGCUUAGGUUUGAGUAAUUUCAUGUUAGGUGGAAAAGUGGCUUUAACCAAUAGUGACCGUAGUGGAGAGUCAAACAACUUUCGAGUCCACAUGACUGUCCUUGAAACCAUUAAGACAAGUUACAUAAAACAUGCAAAUAAGGUCUGAAUUAACAGGGAAAAUUGUGCCAGCUUUGAGUUUCUCUACCUUCAGCGCAUUGAAAAUCAAAUUGAAGUGGAUUUAACACUAAUAAAAACUCACAGUUGUCUUUGGCUAAAUGGGUUUAACACUGAUAACAACACGGUUGUUUUUGGCUAAGGUUCUGUAGGAAAUUGAAACAUGUGUAUAGGUCCUGAUGAUAUGUCAAAUCUUGUAAAUUUAGACAUACUCAAAGCCGUUAGGAGCUUGAAGAGUUGCCAAGUACACUGCACAUCCAGUUGCUUGGAGAGAAUUAUUUUUGAAUAAUUGCAGGAUAUAAUCAGCAACGAAGAGUUGAAGAAUUUCAGUAUAAGAAAUUUCAGUUUUUCAUUAAGGCAUUUACCAUAUUCAUAAU
Molecule: long non-coding RNA, 7564 nt
Organism: Cryptomeria japonica (Japanese cedar)
Lineage: Eukaryota; Viridiplantae; Streptophyta; Pinopsida; Cupressales; Cupressaceae
Exons: 3
Source: RefSeq, a predicted model, not a curated record